AACGAACGCUGGCGGCAUGCCUAACACAUGCAAGUCGAACGAGACCUUCGGGUCUAGUGGCGCACGGGUGCGUAACGCGUGGGAACCUGCCCUUAGGUUCGGAAUAACUCCCCGAAAGGGGUGCUAAUACCGGAUAAUGUCUUCGGACCAAAGAUUUAUCGCCUUUGGAUGGGCCCGCGUUGGAUUAGGUAGUUGGUAGGGUAAAAGCCUAUCAAGGCGACGAUCCAUAGCUGGUCUGAGAGGAUGAUCAGCCACACUGGGACUGAGACACGGCCCAGACUCCUACGGGAGGCAGCAGUGGGGAAUAUUGGACAAUGGGCGAAAGCCUGAUCCAGCAAAGCCGCGUGAGUGAUGAGGCCUUAGGGUUGUAAAGCUCUUUUACCCGGGAUGAUAAUGACAGUACCGGGAGAAUAAGCUCCGGCUAACUCCGUG
RNAcentral lists this ribosomal RNA (432 nucleotides) under uncultured bacterium. RNAcentral's name for it is "partial 16S ribosomal RNA". It matches the Rfam family "Bacterial small subunit ribosomal RNA", at positions 29 to 507 of the family's 1533-position model. The record is from RNAcentral.